GACGAACGCUGGCGGCGUGCCUAAUACAUGCAAGUAGAACGCACAGUUUAUACCGUAGCUUGCUACACCAUAGACUGUGAGUUGCGAACGGGUGAGUAACGCGUAGGUAACCUGCCUGGUAGCGGGGGAUAACUAUUGGAAACGAUAGCUAAUACCGCAUAAUAUUAAUUAUUGCAUGAUAAUUAAUUGAAAGGUGCAAUUGCACCACUACCAGAUGGACCUGCGUUGUAUUAGCUAGUAGGUGAGGUAACGGCUCACCUAGGCGACGAUACAUAGCCGACCUGAGUGGGUGAUCGGCCACACUGGGACGGAGACACGGCCCAGACUCCUACGGGAGGCAGCAGUAGGGAAUCUGCGGCAAGGGACGAAAGUCUGACCGAGCAACGCCGCGUGAGUGAAGAAGGUUUUCGGAUCGUAAAGCUCUGUUGUAAGAGAAGAACGGGUGUGAGAGUGGAAAGUUCACACUGUGACGGUAUCUUACCAGAAAGGGACGGCUAACUACGUG
RNAcentral lists this ribosomal RNA (505 nucleotides) under uncultured bacterium. RNAcentral describes it as "partial 16S ribosomal RNA". It matches the Rfam family "Bacterial small subunit ribosomal RNA", at positions 28 to 507 of the family's 1533-position model. The record is from RNAcentral.